RNAcentral lists this ribosomal RNA (492 nucleotides) under uncultured bacterium. RNAcentral describes it as "partial 16S ribosomal RNA". It matches the Rfam family "Bacterial small subunit ribosomal RNA", at positions 29 to 507 of the family's 1533-position model. The record is from RNAcentral.
AGUGAACGCUGGCGGUAGGCCUAACACAUGCAAGUCGAACGGCAGCACAGUAAGAGCUUGCUCUUACGGGUGGCGAGUGGCGGACGGGUGAGGAAUACAUCGGAAUCUACUUUUUCGUGGGGGAUAACGUAGGGAAACUUACGCUAAUACCGCAUACGACCUACGGGUGAAAGCAGGGGAUCUUCGGACCUUGCGCGAUUGAAUGAGCCGAUGUCGGAUUAGCUAGUUGGCGGGGUAAAGGCCCACCAAGGCGACGAUCCGUAGCUGGUCUGAGAGGAUGAUCAGCCACAUUGGAACUGAGACACGGUCCAGACUCCUACGGGAGGCAGCAGUGGGGAAUAUUGGACAAUGGGCGCAAGCCUGAUCCAGCCAUACCGCGUGGGUGAAGAAGGCCUUCGGGUUGUAAAGCCCUUUUGUUGGGAAAGGAAAGCAGCAGGUUAAUACCCCGCUGUUCUGACGGUACCCAAAGAAUAAGCACCGGCUAACUUCGUG